ACCUAUAUUUGGGACAGCUCUC
RNAcentral lists this microRNA (22 nucleotides) under Capitella teleta. Its description in RNAcentral is "Cte-Mir-2686-P1_5p* (star (passenger))". The record is from RNAcentral. Lineage: Eukaryota; Metazoa; Annelida; Polychaeta; Capitellidae.